This 217-nucleotide ribosomal RNA is filed under the name Escherichia coli. RNAcentral describes it as "partial 23S ribosomal RNA". It matches the Rfam family "Bacterial large subunit ribosomal RNA", at positions 1291 to 1512 of the family's 2925-position model. Lineage: Bacteria; Pseudomonadati; Pseudomonadota; Gammaproteobacteria; Enterobacterales; Enterobacteriaceae. The record is from RNAcentral.
CGAAUGCUGACAUAAGUAACGAUAAAGCGGGUGAAAAGCCCGCUCGCCGGAAGACCAAGGGUUCCUGUCCAACGUUAAUCGGGGCAGGGUGAGUCGACCCCUAAGGCGAGGCCGAAAGGCGUAGUCGAUGGGAAACAGGUUAAUAUUCCUGUACUUGGUGUUACUGCGAAGGGGGGACGGAGAAGGCUAUGUUGGCCGGGCGACGGUUGUCCCGGUU